Molecule: ribosomal RNA, 231 nt
Filed under: uncultured bacterium
Lineage: Bacteria
Description: partial 16S ribosomal RNA
Rfam family: Bacterial small subunit ribosomal RNA
Source: RNAcentral
CGGAAUUAUUGGGCGGAAAGUGUGCGCAGGCGGCAGAGCAAGUCGAGUGUGAAAGCCCCGGGCUUAACUUGGGAAUUGCGCUCGAAACUACUUUGCUGGAGUGUGGCAGAGGAAGGUGGAAUUCCACGUGUAGCGGUGAAAUGCGUAGAUAUCGUGAGGAAUACCAGAGGCGAAGGCGGCUACCUGGACAAUUGCUGACGCUCAGGCACGAAAGCGUGGGGAGCAAAAGGG